UACGUAGGGUGCAAGCGUUAAUCGGAAUUACUGGGCGUAAAGCGUGCGCAGGCGGUUGUGCACGUCCGAUGUGAAAUCCCCGGGCUCAACCUGGGAAUGGCAUUGGUGACUGCACGGCUAGAGUGUGUCAGAGGGGGGUAGAAUUCCACGUGUAGCAGUGAAAUGCGUAGAGAUGUGGAGGAAUACCGAUGGCGAAGGCAGCCCCCUGGGAUAACACUGACGCUCAUGCACGAAAGCGUGGGGAGCAAACAGG
This 253-nucleotide ribosomal RNA is filed under the name uncultured bacterium. RNAcentral describes it as "partial 16S ribosomal RNA". It matches the Rfam family "Bacterial small subunit ribosomal RNA", at positions 524 to 776 of the family's 1533-position model. The record is from RNAcentral.